ACGCUCGACACCUACUGGAGGCAGCAGUGGGGAAUAUUGCACAAUGGGGGAAACCCUGAUGCAGCGACGCCGCGUGAGCGAAGAAGUAUUUCGGUAUGUAAAGCUCUAUCAGCAGGGAAGAAACUGACGGUACCUGACUAAGAAGCACCGGCUAAAUACGUGCCAGUAGUCGCGGUAAUCUGAGCGGGCUGGCAAGGC
This 198-nucleotide ribosomal RNA is filed under the name uncultured bacterium. Its description in RNAcentral is "partial 16S ribosomal RNA". It matches the Rfam family "Bacterial small subunit ribosomal RNA", at positions 328 to 539 of the family's 1533-position model. The record is from RNAcentral.